GACGAACGCUGGCGGCGUGCUUAACACAUGCAAGUCGAACGGAAAGGCCCUGCUUUUGUGGGGUUCUCGAGUGGCGAACGGGUGAGUAACACGUGAGUAACCUGCCCUUGACUUUGGGAUAACUUCAGGAAACUGGGGCUAAUACCGGAUAGGAGCUCCUGCUGCAUGGGGGGGGUUGGAAAGUUUCGGCGGUUGGGGAUGGACUCGCGGCUUAUCAGCUUGUUGGUGGGGUAGUGGCUUACCAAGGCUUUGACGGGUAGCCGGCCUGAGAGGGUGACCGGCCACAUUGGGACUGAGAUACGGCCCAGACGCCUACGGGAGGCAGCAGUGGGGAAUAUUGCACAAUGGGCGGAAGCCUGAUGCAGCAACGCCGCGUGCGGGAUGACGGCCUUCGGGUUGUAAACCGCUUUCGCCUGUGACGAAGCGUGAGUGACGGUAAUGAGUAAAGAAGCACCGGCUAACUACGUG
This 468-nucleotide ribosomal RNA is filed under the name uncultured bacterium. RNAcentral's name for it is "partial 16S ribosomal RNA". It matches the Rfam family "Bacterial small subunit ribosomal RNA", at positions 28 to 507 of the family's 1533-position model. The record is from RNAcentral.